GAUGAACGCUGGCGGCGUGCCUAAUACAUGCAAGUAGAACGCUGAAGGAAGGAGCUUACUCUUUCCGGAUGAGUUGCGAACGGGUGAGUAACGCGUAGGUAACCUGCCUGGUAGCGGGGGAUAACUAUUGGAAACGAUAGCUAAUACCGCAUAACAGUAGAUGUUGCAUGAUAUCUACUUAAAAGGUGCAAUUGCACCACUACCAGAUGGACCUGCGUUGUAUUAGCUAGUUGGUGAGGUAACGGCUCACCAAGGCGACGAUACAUAGCCGACCUGAGAGGGUGAUCGGCCACACUGGGACUUGGACACGGCCCAGACUCCUAAGGGAAGCAGCAGGAGGGGAUCUUCGGAAAUGGACGGAAGUCUGAACGAGCAACGCCGCGUGAGUGAAGAAGGUUUUCGGAUCGUAAAGCUCUGUUGUAAGAGAAGAACGAGUGUGAGAGUGGAAAGUUCACACUGUGACGGUAUCUUACCGGAAAGGGACGGCUAACUACGUG
Molecule: ribosomal RNA, 497 nt
Filed under: uncultured bacterium
Lineage: Bacteria
Description: partial 16S ribosomal RNA
Rfam family: Bacterial small subunit ribosomal RNA
Source: RNAcentral